This 465-nucleotide ribosomal RNA is filed under the name uncultured bacterium. RNAcentral's name for it is "bacterial SSU rRNA". It matches the Rfam family "Bacterial small subunit ribosomal RNA", at positions 329 to 792 of the family's 1533-position model. The record is from RNAcentral.
UGCCAGACUCCUACGGGAGGCAGCAGUGAGGAAUAUUGGUCAAUGGGCGAGAGCCUGAACCAGCCAAGUCGCGUGAGGGACGACGGCCCUACGGGUUGUAAACCUCUUUUGCCGGGGGACAAACGGCGGCACGCGUGCCGUCCUGAGGGUACCCGGAGAAAAAGCAUCGGCUAACUCCGUGCCAGCAGCCGCGGUAAUACGGAGGAUGCGAGCGUUAUCCGGAUUUAUUGGGUUUAAAGGGUGCGUAGGCGGAACAUUAAGUCAGCGGUAAAAUCGAGGGGCUCAACCCCUUUAAGCCGUUGAAACUGGUGAUCUUGAGUGGGCGAGAAGUAUGCGGAAUGCGUGGUGUAGCGGUGAAAUGCAUAGAUAUCACGCAGAACUCCGAUUGCGAAGGCAGCAUACCGGCGCCCGACUGACGCUGAGGCACGAAAGCGUGGGGAUCGAACAGGAUUAGAUACCCUCGUA